RNAcentral lists this ribosomal RNA (492 nucleotides) under uncultured bacterium. RNAcentral describes it as "partial 16S ribosomal RNA". It matches the Rfam family "Bacterial small subunit ribosomal RNA", at positions 28 to 507 of the family's 1533-position model. The record is from RNAcentral.
GAUGAACGCUAGCUACAGGCUUAACACAUGCAAGUCGAGGGGAAACGGCAUUAAGUGCUUGCACUUUUUGGACGUCGAUCGGCGCACGGGUGAGUAACGCGUAUCCAACCUUCCCAUGACUAAGGGAUAACCUGCCGAAAGGCAGACUAAUACCUUAUGGUCUUCACUGACGGCAUCAGAUGUGAAGUAAAGAUUUAUCGGUUAUGGAUGGGGAUGCGUCUGAUUAGCUUGUUGGCGGGGUAACGGCCCACCAAGGCAACGAUCAGUAGGGGUUCUGAGAGGAAGGUCCCCCACAUUGGAACUGAGACACGGUCCAAACUCCUACGGGAGGCAGCAGUGAGGAAUAUUGGUCAAUGGGCGAGAGCCUGAACCAGCCAAGUAGCGUGCAGGAUGACGGCCCUAUGGGUUGUAAACUGCUUUUGUAUGGGGAUAAAGUCAAUCACGUGUGAUUGUUUGCAGGUACCAUACGAAUAAGGACCGGCUAAUUCCGUG